Molecule: ribosomal RNA, 99 nt
Filed under: Rhodospirillaceae bacterium
Lineage: Bacteria; Pseudomonadati; Pseudomonadota; Alphaproteobacteria; Rhodospirillales; Rhodospirillaceae
Source: RNAcentral
UUUGCCGGCCCUGGCGGGGGUCUCAACACCCGACCCCAUUCCGAACUCGGAAGUGAAAGCCCCCAGCGCCGAUGGUACUUCGUCUUAAGACGCGGGAGA